GUCGCGAUGGCCGAGUGGUUAAGGCGAUGGACUCGAAAUCCAUUGGGGUCUCCCCGCGCAGGUUCAAAUCCUGCUCGCGACG
Hydatigera taeniaeformis is the source of this 82-nucleotide non-coding RNA. NCBI's taxonomy places the organism in Eukaryota, Metazoa, Platyhelminthes, Cestoda, Cyclophyllidea, Taeniidae. The record is from Rfam.